AUUGAACGCUGGCGGCAUGCCUUACACAUGCAAGUCGAACGGUAACAGGUCUUCGGAUGCUGUCGAGUGGCGGACGGGUGAGUAAUACAUCGGAACGUGCCCAGACGUGGGGGGUAACGAGGCGAAAGCUUUGCUAAUACCGCAUACGAUCUAAGGAUGAAAGCAGGGGACCGCAAGGACUUGCGCGUUUGGAGCGGCCGAUGGCAGAUUAGGUAGUUGGUGGGGUAAAAGCUUACCAAGCCGACGAUCUGUAGCUGGUACGAGAGGGAGACCAGCCACACUGGGACUGAGGCACGGCCAAGACUCCUACGGGAGGCAGCAGUGGGGAAUUUUGGACGAUGGGGGGAAGCAUGAUCGAGCAAUGCCGCGUGCAGGAUGAAGGCCUUCGGGUUGUAAAAUGCUUUUGUACGGAACGAAAAGGCUCUGGCUAAUACCAGGGGAACGUGACGGUACCGGAAGAAUAAGCACCGGCUAACUACGUG
RNAcentral lists this ribosomal RNA (482 nucleotides) under uncultured bacterium. RNAcentral's name for it is "partial 16S ribosomal RNA". It matches the Rfam family "Bacterial small subunit ribosomal RNA", at positions 29 to 507 of the family's 1533-position model. The record is from RNAcentral.